AUGAGGAUCGCGUCGGCGUGGCAGCUGCUCCUGCCGGCGGUGCUGUGCUGCUGCUGCUGCAUCGACGGCGCGGCCGGCCAGGGGUGGCGCUGCAGGUUCCCGGCCGUGUUCAACUUCGGCGACUCCAACUCCGACACGGGCGGCUUCUGGGCCGCCUUCCCGGCGCAGCCGCCCCCGUUCGGGGUCACCUACUUCGGCCGGCCCGCCGGACGCGCCUCCGACGGCCGCCUGGUCAUCGACUUCAUAGCUCAGGCCAUGGGGCUGCCGCUGCUGAGCCCCUACCUGCGGUCCGUCGGCUCCGACUUCCGGCACGGCGCCAACUUCGCCACGCUCGCCUCCACGGCGCUGCUGCCCAACACGUCGCUCUUCGUCACCGGCAUCAGCCCCUUCUCCCUCGCCAUCCAGCUCCGGCAGAUGAAGGAGCUCAGCAAUAGAGCGAUCGCCUCCGGUGCCACCAGUGGUAAAAAGAUCAAUCUCCUGACCAGGCAACUUCCCCCGCCCGACAUUUUCGGCAACUCUCUGUACACGAUCGACAUUGGCCAGAAUGAUUUCACCUCCAACCUAGGGUCGCAGAGCAUCGGGAGUGUCAAGCGAACUCUUCCUUCAGUUAUCAGCCAGAUCUCGUGGGCUAUACAGGACUUGCACAGCAUUGGGGCUCGCAAAUUCAUGGUGUUCAACAUGGCGCCAAUCGGGUGCUACCCGGCCUUCCUCGUGGAGCUUCCACAUAGCAGCAACGAUCUGGAUGAGUACGGCUGCAUGGCAAGUUACAAUAGCGCGGUUGUCUACUACAAUGAACUGCUGAACAACAGCUUGGCCGAGGUUAGGAAGACGCUGCAGAAUGCGUCGAUCGUGUACGUCGACAAAUACUCUGCCAUGCUCGAGCUGUUCAGGCAUCCAGAAGAUCAUGGUGGUUGGGUGAUGAUUUCAGGGCUCAAGUAUGGGACCAAGGCUUGCUGCGGAUACGGUGGUGGAGCUUACAAUUUUGACCCAGAUCUGUACUGUGGCACCAGCAAGAUUGUCAAGGGCAACAUUGCGAGUGCGACGGCCUGCGGAGACCCGCAGAACUACGUGAGCUGGGAUGGAAUCCAUGCCACAGAAGCCGCAAACAAUAUCAUAGCAUCUGCACUGAUGAGUGGCUACUACUCGUAUCCACCUUCCGAUCUUUCAAAACUUUGCCGGCCAUGA
RNAcentral lists this ribosomal RNA (1185 nucleotides) under Triticum aestivum (bread wheat). Its description in RNAcentral is "partial small subunit ribosomal RNA". The record is from RNAcentral. Lineage: Eukaryota; Viridiplantae; Streptophyta; Magnoliopsida; Poales; Poaceae.